This 513-nucleotide ribosomal RNA is filed under the name uncultured bacterium. RNAcentral describes it as "partial 16S ribosomal RNA". It matches the Rfam family "Bacterial small subunit ribosomal RNA", at positions 28 to 507 of the family's 1533-position model. The record is from RNAcentral.
GACGAACGCUGGCGGCGUGCUUAACACAUGCAAGUCGAACGAAAAGAGGGAAAGAGCUUGCUCUUUCCGGAAUUGAGUGGCAAACGGGUGAGUAACACGUAAACAACCUGCCUUCAGGAUGGGGACAACAGACGGAAACGACUGCUAAUACCGAAUAAGUUCCAAGAGCCGCAUGGCCCAUGGAAGAAAAGGUGGCCUCUACCUGUAAGCUAUCGCCUGAAGAGGGGUUUGCGUCUGAUUAGCUGGUUGGAGGGGUAACGGCCCACCAAGGCGACGAUCAGUAGCCGGUCUGAGAGGAUGAACGGCCACACUGGAACUGGGACACGGUCCAGACUCCUACGGGAGGCAGCAGUGGGGAAUCUUCCGCAAUGGGCGAAAGCCUGACGGAGCAACGCCGCGUGAGUGAUGACGGCCUUCGGGUUGUAAAACUCUGUGAUCCGGGACGAAAAGGCAGAGUGCGAAGAACAAACUGCAUUGACGGUACCGGAAAAGCAAGCCACGGCUAACUACGUG